Long non-coding RNA from Papaver somniferum (opium poppy), 1406 nucleotides. RefSeq lists it as uncharacterized. NCBI's taxonomy places the organism in Eukaryota, Viridiplantae, Streptophyta, Magnoliopsida, Ranunculales, Papaveraceae. The record is from RefSeq and is a predicted model, not a curated record. The transcript is spliced from 9 exons.
UCUACUGCUGUUUGUGACUUGAGUGGGUUUAAGAUGGCAGUAGCGAUGUUGCUGGUUAGUGGACUGAUUCUGCACAAGAAGAAGAAGAGGAGUGUUUUUGGUCAUUCGUCAUUUGGUUUUUGGGACUCGGAAAUUUAUCAGUGAUGGGAAUCCUUCUUUUGACUGUUUCUUAUCCAAUUUCUUAUCCAAAACCUUUGGUACAUUCAACUUCGGAUCUAAUGUUGUAUUGGUUGAUAGGGGGAAAUCGGCAUACAUUUGCAAUGUACAUGAAUGAAGUCUCUGGGAUGAUGAAACAGAUGUUUAAGAAUGGUCAUUGGCCAGACAGCGGUAGUCUUGAAAGCCUUCCCAUAUGUUGAUUCAAAAUUGUAUCUAAUGUGGUUUAAGGGAGUGGAAAACAUUGGAGUAACAUUAGGGGAAAUCGGCUUUUGACUUAUUGCCCAAGAUAUAUGGAAUGAUGUUUCAGUUGAUGCGAAAUCAGUUGAUACUCUAAUGAGUAGUUAGUGUAGCUGAGCUGGCUGUUGAAUGGGGUGAACAGAAUAUCAUUAUCAGCUCAGAUUCUAAAACUGUGAUAUCAGAUUUUACCAGAAAUCAGGUCCCUUGGUUCAUCAGAAUGAGAUGGUUAAGAGCAGCCAAGAAAAUCUCCUCAAUUCAAUUUCAUCACUGUUAUAGAGAGGUAAAUUUCUCAGCGGACACAGUAGCAAAAAGAGCUGCUAGACUAAAUGCAGGAUACCAAAACUCAUCAAGGAGCUCAAGGAUUUUUUGAUUCAAGCAUGUAAAGAAAAGGACAUUGAAGGUGACUUGAGAAUUCUUUUGAAUGAGCAAGCGAAGGAUGGAGGAAUCUUAGUCAUCAAGCAUGUGAAUAAUUUCCCUCCUGAGCAUCUGCCUCCACUUUAUAAUAUACUCUUCAAUGAAGUGACACAGGCAACAAAACAUCAGAUUUAAGGUUUAUCUACUGGUUACCCGAGUUUACAAGCUUAAUGAUGCCAAACGACGAAAAGGUGUUACAAAAAGUGAUAUUGAUGAACCAAUAAUAUAUCUAACCUCAUGGACCUUCACCUUCCCUCUACGAUCUCGGCCAACUGAUGUGAUGCAGAACUACAAACCCAUGGGGACUAGUCAUGGCCCUAGAAGCAAAAAAAGUUUAGACUUUUCAGAAAGAGCUGCAAUCUCUAAUUAGUGAUACGACGGGACAUUAAAAGCAAUGGUGUAGCUGCAAUCCCUACUACAAGUGUGUUUUGAAGUCUUUUAAAUAAGUGUUUUUCAUUAUGUUGGAAAUCAAGUUUCUAACGUUAUUGUACAAAUAUCACGUUUCUAAAAGUUAAAAUGCCUUUUAGACGUGAUGUAAAUUUUGAGCCAUAAACAAAGAAUACUCACAUUGUUCCUUGCAGCUAUGAACUCUGUGUUUC